UCACUCAGUUCAGUAGUGCCUUCACUAAAACUGAGGGACCAGAGAGGACUAGCAUGGCCCCUGCACAAGGAUCACACACAAAAUUUUUUCACACAAAAAUAAUGU
This is a small nuclear RNA of Meriones unguiculatus (Mongolian gerbil), 105 nucleotides long. The record is from Ensembl. NCBI's taxonomy places the organism in Eukaryota, Metazoa, Chordata, Mammalia, Rodentia, Muridae.